This 2827-nucleotide long non-coding RNA is filed under the name Homo sapiens (human). Its description in RNAcentral is "HSALNT0093219". The record is from RNAcentral. Lineage: Eukaryota; Metazoa; Chordata; Mammalia; Primates; Hominidae.
CUAAGCUGUGGGAAAUGGGAAAUUGCGUAAAAAUCUGGGUUGGGUGAUUUAAAAAAAAAGCAGGGGCUGGGCAUAGGCAGUAAUAUAAGGCAAGAUGGCUAAGGAAGAAGGUGGGCAGCGGAGCCGGUGAAGGAAGCCGCAGGCGCGGAUGGAGGCGAAGAGAUCAGGAGCAGUAAAGGAACACUCUCUUCCCCAGUCAGCUGGGAUACGGAUUUUGUAAGGCCUAGGGACUUUGUCUUUGGAGGUCCUGUCUCCAUAAGGCUUCCCAAAACAAAGAAUGUUCAGAUUGGACUGGCCUUAAAAUGCAGUAUUUAAAACAGCAACAUGUCUGACAGAUCCGAGAAAUGAAAUACGUCCAUUUCUUUUGGCAAGGAGCAGAAGGCAACAUAAAGCAGCUGCAAGAAUUAAUUCAUGGAGAUAGUUGACAUUUUCGAGCUGACUGCCUCUUAGAGAAAAUGAUGUCAUUCUCCAGCAGCCUAAUGACAGUCAUCAGCCUGAGAGGACACAUGCUAAUAAGACUAUCACCAGCAAAGAAUUUUCUGAGCAAAUGUGUACUGGAGACCUUCUGAGGAACCCACUAGAGCCUGCACAUCCCCUUUUCCUAGCAAGGUCAACUGGAAAACAGUGUUCUUUCCAAGAUAACGUGCAACUUUCCUUUGGAAUGAUCAGCAGAAUGUCAAAUAAGGAAAGGACAUGUAGAGUUCAUGGGAGGAGACAUUACUUCUGGCUGCAGAAUUAUGGAGGCUUUAUGGGAGACGCCGUAUAUUUUAUCUGUGCGCCUUGAUCACGUGUCUGACCAUGGACAGAGAAACCAGCCUAAUGAGCCUUCUUUACAGGUCUUACUGCCUAUUAGAGCAAAGGAAGAGGAAAUCUUUGGCUAACCGGUCAGAGAAAACAACUGGAUUAAACAAGAUACUCUUCAUGACUGUGGUUGCAAAAAUGCAACACAACUUUUAAAAAUCUUAGUACUAAUUUUUAAAAAUGGCUUUUAAUUUGGGGGAGACUCGAUAACAGAACCCGAAAAUCUGAUGAAUUGUAUGAACAUUUUGUUCAGAAAAAUAAACAUAUAUUACCAGAAAAUUUCAUAUGUGAUUCAAGAAGUCCACAGAAGUUCCAUGUUAGUAAAAUUGAGGAACAAUGGUGACACCCUAAUGAUAGGGCAACAUGGUUCUGCUUUAGUAAGUCUGAGAGCUGCAGCUGUGAAAAGGGUCCUGACUCCAUUCAGGUUCGGGUUGAGAAUUCAGUUCUAGUGAAGCUCUUCACUACACAGCGAUUGAGAAAUCAAGGCUGUUGGCUGCUUGGACAUCUUUAAUGUGCGGCUUCCAGGACAGCAGUUCCCUUCUCAUUUGGGAUCGUUUUUGCCUGUAUAGAGUCUCAAUCUGUUGCCCAGGCUGAGGUGCAGUGGUGCGAUCACAGCUCACUGUAGCCUUGAACUCCCAGGCUCAAGCGAUCCUCCCACCUAGGCCUUCUGAGUAAUUGAGACCAUAGAGGGUCUAAAGAGGAGCUACUUUGUCACUCAUCACUCGCUUGAAUAUUCAUCAGCAACAGAAGAGGAAGCUGAUCUGGGGGGUGCCGGUGGUUGUCUAUGGGGGAACUGAGGCCCUACGAAGUUAAAUGAUCUGCCAAGUUAUCCCUGAAAAACAUUAAGGCCCUCAAGUUUCCUAGGUUUAGGACUGAACAACUCCGGGAAUCUGAAAGAUGAUGCAAAUAAAGAGGAAGACGGACAUAAUCUCGAAGGGAGAGAAAGGAGCUGGGAAUGGGGGAUCAUAUUCUAAUAGCUCAUCAUCACCACAUGAAACAUACAAUGCAGAGGAACUCUUCAAGGGGUGAAGGGAAAGUAUAAAACAAGACAGAAGAUUUCCUUUCUUCCAUGAGGAUAUAAUUCUAGUGGGAGAACCAAUAAGCAAACCAGCAGAAGAAUCUUAGACUGGGAGACGUGCUAAGCUGAGAACUGGGGCAGCCGGUGCCUGGGGAGCUACACUGGAACUGUGAUUGUGAAACCAAUUCAAAGAGGUAGCAUUUACAGUGAGACCUGAAUGACAAGAAGGAGCCAGAUGUGCAGUGAUUCUCCAGGAAGGAGUUCCAGGUAUCGAGAACAGCUGGCAUAAAUGUUUGAAGGUGGGUAUAGCAGCACUAUUCACAAUAGCCAGAAGGUGGAAACAACCCUAACGUCCAUCAGCAGUUGAAUGGAUAAACAAAAUGUGGUAUAUCCAUGCUAUGGAAUAUUAUUCAGCCUUAAAAACAAAUGAAGGACUGAUACAUGAUAAUGUCAGGCCUCCGAGCCCAAGCCAAGCCAUCUCAUCCCCUGUGACUUGCACGUAUACAUCCAGAUGGCCUGAAGUAACUGAAGAUCCACAAAAGAAGUAAAAAUAGCCUGAACUGAUGACAUUCCACCAUUGUGAUUUGUUCCUGCCCCACCCUAACUGAUCAAUGUAGUUUGUAAUCUUCCCACCCUUAAGAAGGUUCUUUGUAAUUCUCCCCACCCUUGAGAAUGUACUUUGUGAGAUCCACCCCUGCCCACAAAACAUUGCUCUUAACUUCACCGCCCAUCCCAAAACCUGUAAGAACUAAUGAUAAUCCAUCUCCCUUCGCUGACUCUUUUCGGACUCAGCCCACCUGCACCCAGGUGAAAUAAACAGCCAUGCUGCUCACACAAAACCUGUUUGGUGGUCUCUUCACACGGACACACAUGAAACUAUGACUUGGAUGAACCUUGAAAACAUUAGGUUAAGUGAAAGAAGCCAGUCACAAAAGAAGCCAGUCACAUACAUAUUGUGUGAUUCCUUUUAUAUGAACUAUCUGGAAUAGAUUAGUCCAUAGAGACAGA